RNAcentral lists this ribosomal RNA (494 nucleotides) under uncultured bacterium. RNAcentral describes it as "partial 16S ribosomal RNA". It matches the Rfam family "Bacterial small subunit ribosomal RNA", at positions 28 to 507 of the family's 1533-position model. The record is from RNAcentral.
GACGAACGCUGGCGGCGCGCUUAACACAUGCAAGUCGAACGGAAAGGCCUGCUUUCCCUUGUGGAUUGCGGGUACUCGAGUGGCGAACGGGUGAGUAACACGUGAGUGAUCUGCCCCCAACUUGGGUAUAAGCCUGGGAAACUGGGUCUAAUUCCCGAUAGGACUGCAGGGUGGUGCCUGUGGUGGCAAACGAUUUUCUAGUGGUUGGGGCUGAGCUCGCGGCCUAUCAGCUUGUUGGUGGGGUAAUGGCCUACCAAGGCGGCGGCGGGUAGCCGGCCUGGGAGGGUGGACGGGCACAUUGGGACUGAGAUACGGCCCAGACUCCUACGGGAGGCAGCAGUGGGGAAUAUUGCGCAAUGGGCGGAAGCCUGAUGCAGCGACGCCGCGUGGGGGAUGACGGCCUUCGGGCUGUAAACUCCUUUCGACCGCGAGGAAGCCACCUGGUUGGAAGGGUGGUGACGGUAGUGGUAGAAGAAGCACCGGCUAACUACGUG